RNAcentral lists this long non-coding RNA (1059 nucleotides) under Zostera marina. Its description in RNAcentral is "long non-coding RNA (ZMAR_LNC003298)". Lineage: Eukaryota; Viridiplantae; Streptophyta; Magnoliopsida; Alismatales; Zosteraceae. The record is from RNAcentral.
CCAUUUCGAGUACUCGCACUUGAAGAACAAAUGGUUCGUUGGUAAAUUUUCCCACCGGAUUCUCCAUAAAUUUAAUGUGACUUUACCGAUUUUGUUUGCUGAUGAAGCACUGAAUUUGCUACCAGGGCUCGCGGUGGUACGAGGUUGAUGCUGGAGGCUUUGGAGUCCACGACGCAUGCUCUACGUCAAAUACCUGCAAGUGGAAACUAGGCGAUUCUAAUGAGACUCGCCGAGUUUCGUAGUGAUGCUCUGGUGUGAGAGAGGAACUUGAAUCGUGCCUUUGAGUGUCCCCUUGAGACCCUAUUUAUAGGAUCUCGGAGGGCGCAAUCAAAGGCGGACAUCGCGCCUAUGGUCAUAUAUGGUAACAUUUAUGACGUUGGCUGGCGGCGAGUAACGGUCGUAAGUCGCCGAUUCAGGUAUGGAAGUCGCCUAGUUAGGGCUAACUCGGCGAGUUUCUAGGGCCAAGAUGUGCAGUCUACCAUACUGCCGAUCUUGCCUUAACUCGGCGAGUUAUCCUGUAUGUCGGCGACUUGGUAGUCCAAUCGGGUGACUUACGGGCUAACUCGGCGAUCUGGACGAUGAACGUGUUCCGCACCAUGGGAGCUCUCCGGGGGUCCUGCCAUAGCGACGGAGCCCUAGUCCUUGUUGAAAGGCGUUGCUUGGAGUGAUUGACGUAAUCAGGCAUGUCUCACCAGUACUCCCUCCUGAAGAGAGCACAAGAAACAUGCGUGUAUCGCCAGUACCCCCCCAACCAAGGUUCAAUGUGUGUGAUCCAGCACCAAGGCCAAAGCGACAAGAUGAGAUCGAAUCAUCCGCCCACAGUGACGUAGUGAUUCAGAAUCCAUAGGCCAAAGCGUCAAGAAUGGAUCGAGUUCCAGGCCACGGUAACUCUGUUUAUAGUCCUUCCCUGAUCAAGGGCGACUGCACUGUGUUAUCGAGGCCGAAGCGACAAGAUAAAUUCCGGCCAAAGCGACGGAAUACGAUUCAGGCCGGAGCGACAGAAUCGGGUUCUUGCCAGAGCGAUAGAACCAAGUUCUAGCCGAAGCGAUAGAACUAAUG